UAAUACGAGGGGAGCUAGCGUUGUUCGGAAUUACUGGGCGUAAAGGGCGUGUAGGCGGUACCAUAAGUCAGAUGUGAAAGCCCUAGGCUUAACCUAGGAGGUGCAUUUGAUACUGUGGAACUAGAGAUCGAGAGAGGUAAGUGGAAUUACGAGUGUAGAGGUGAAAUUCGUAGAUAUUCGUAAGAACACCAGUGGCGAAGGCGACUUACUGGCUCGAUACUGACGCUAAGGCGCGAAAGCGUGGGGAGCAAACAGGAUUAGAUACCCUGGUAGUCCACGCUGUAAACGAUGAGUGCUAGAUGUUGGUGAAGGAAUUCAUCAGUGUCGCAGCUAACGCAUUAAGCACUCCGCCUGGGGAGUACGGUCGCAAGAUUA
This 375-nucleotide ribosomal RNA is filed under the name uncultured bacterium. RNAcentral's name for it is "bacterial SSU rRNA". It matches the Rfam family "Bacterial small subunit ribosomal RNA", at positions 521 to 896 of the family's 1533-position model. The record is from RNAcentral.